GAUGAACGCUAGCUACAGGCUUAACACAUGCCAGUCGCGGGGCAGCAUGGGGGUUGCUUGCAAUCCCCGAUGGCGACCGGCGCACGGGUGAGUAACGCGUAUCCAACCUGCCCUUCACCACGGGAUAACCCGGCGAAAGUCGGACUAAUACCGUAUGUUGUCCAUUGACGGCCUCCGAUUUGGACGAAAGGCUUGGCGGUGAGGGAUGGGGAUGCGUCCGAUUAGCCAGACGGCGGGGUAACGGCCCACCGUGGCUACGAUCGGUAGGGGUUCUGAGAGGAAGGUCCCCCACACUGGAACUGAGACACGGUCCAGACUCCUACGGGAGGCAGCAGUGAGGAAUAUUGGUCAAUGGGCGUAAGCCUGAACCAGCCAAGUAGCGUGCAGGAUGACGGCCCUAUGGGUUGUAAACUGCUUUUAUGCGGGGAUAAAGUGGCCCACGUGUGGGCUUUUGCAGGUACCGCAUGAAUAAGGACCGGCUAAUUCCGUG
Molecule: ribosomal RNA, 490 nt
Filed under: uncultured bacterium
Lineage: Bacteria
Description: partial 16S ribosomal RNA
Rfam family: Bacterial small subunit ribosomal RNA
Source: RNAcentral